This 440-nucleotide ribosomal RNA is filed under the name uncultured soil bacterium. Its description in RNAcentral is "bacterial SSU rRNA". It matches the Rfam family "Bacterial small subunit ribosomal RNA", at positions 26 to 518 of the family's 1533-position model. The record is from RNAcentral.
AGAGCGAACGCUGGCGGCAGGCCUAACACAUGCAAGUCGAACGGACUCUUCGGAGUUAGUGGCGGACGGGUGAGUAACACGUGGGAACGUGCCUUUUGGUUCGGAAUAGCUCCUGGAAACGGGUGGUAAUGCCGAAUGUGCCCUUCGGGGGAAAGAUUUAUCGCCAUUAGAGCGGCCCGCGUCUGAUUAGCUAGUUGGUGAGGUAAAGGCUCACCAAGGCUACGAUCAGUAGCUGGUCUGAGAGGAUGACCAGCCACAUUGGGACUGAGACACGGCCCAAACUCCUACGGGAGGCAGCAGUGGGGAAUCUUGCGCAAUGGGCGAAAGCCUGACGCAGCCAUGCCGCGUGAAUGAUGAAGGUCUUAGGAUUGUAAAAUUCUUUCACCGGGACGAUAAUGACGGUACCGAGAAGAAGCCCGCUAACUCGCGCCAGCAGCCGC